GGGCUCGCUUUGGCAGCACAUAUACUGAAAUUGGAAUGAUACAGAGAAGAUUAGCAUGGUAUGGCCCCUCUGCAAGGAUGACAUGUAUAUUUGUGAAUUAUUCCUUAUUUUU
This 112-nucleotide small nuclear RNA is filed under the name Sciurus carolinensis (gray squirrel). Lineage: Eukaryota; Metazoa; Chordata; Mammalia; Rodentia; Sciuridae. The record is from RNAcentral. RNAcentral also lists the same sequence under 1 other name.